GCAGAGCACCCCUACGGGAGGCAGCAGUGGGGAAUAUUGCACAAUGGGCGCAAGCCUGAUGCAGCCAUGCCGCGUGUAUGAAGAAGGCCUUCGGGUUGUAAAGUACUUUCAGCAGUGAGGAAGGUGGAUAUGUUAAUAGCAUAUUCAUUUGACGUUAGCUGCAGAAGAAGCACCGGCUAACUCCGUGCCAGCAGCCGCGGUAAUACGGAGGGUGCGAGCGUUAAUCGGAAUUACUGGGCGUAAAGCGCAUGCAGGUGGUUUGUUAAGUCAGAUGUGAAAGCCCGGGGCUCAACCUCGGAAUUGCAUUUGAAACUGGCAAACUAGAGUACUGUAGAGGGGGUAGAAUUUCAGGUGUAGCGGUGAAAAUGCGUAGAGAUCUGAAGGAAUACCGGUGGCGAAGGCGGCCCCCCGGACAGAUACUGACACUCAGAUGCGAAAGCGUGGGGAGCAAACACGGAUUAGAUACCCUGGUAG
Molecule: ribosomal RNA, 474 nt
Filed under: uncultured bacterium
Lineage: Bacteria
Description: bacterial SSU rRNA
Rfam family: Bacterial small subunit ribosomal RNA
Source: RNAcentral